AGUAACGCGUGAGCAAUCUGCCUUUAAGAGGGGGAUAACAGUCGGAAACGGCUGCUAAUACCGCAUAAAGCAUUGAAACCGCAUGAUUUUGAUGCCAAAGGAGCAAUCCGCUUUUAGAUGAGCUCGCGUCUGAUUAGCUGGUUGGCGGGGUAACGGCCCACCAAGGCGACGAUCGGUAGCCGGACUGAGAGGUUGAACGGCCACAUUGGGACUGAGACACGGCCCAG
This 227-nucleotide ribosomal RNA is filed under the name uncultured bacterium. Its description in RNAcentral is "partial 16S ribosomal RNA". It matches the Rfam family "Bacterial small subunit ribosomal RNA", at positions 109 to 334 of the family's 1533-position model. The record is from RNAcentral.